GAUGAACGCUGGCGGCGUGCUUAACACAUGCAAGUCGAGCGAAGCACUUUAUUUGAUUUCCUUCGGGACUGAUUAUUUUGUGACUGAGUGGCGGACGGGUGAGUAACGCGUGGGUAACCUGCCUUGUACAGGGGGAUAACAGUUGGAAACGGCUGCUAAUACCGCAUAAGCGCACAGCAUCGCAUGAUGCAGUGUGAAAAACUCCGGUGGUAUAAGAUGGACCCGCGUUGGAUUAGCUAGUUGGUGAGGUAACGGCCCACCAAGGCGACGAUCCAUAGCCGACCUGAGAGUGUGACCGGCCACAUUGGGACUGAGACACGGCCCAAACUCCUACGGGAGGCAGCAGUGGGGAAUAUUGCACAAUGGGCGAAAGCCUGAUGCAGCGACGCCGCGUGAGCGAAGAAGUAUUUCGGUAUGUAAAGCUCUAUCAGCAGGGAAGAUAAUGACGGUACCUGACUAAGAAGCACCGGCUAAAUACGUG
RNAcentral lists this ribosomal RNA (481 nucleotides) under uncultured bacterium. Its description in RNAcentral is "partial 16S ribosomal RNA". It matches the Rfam family "Bacterial small subunit ribosomal RNA", at positions 28 to 507 of the family's 1533-position model. The record is from RNAcentral.